This 758-nucleotide ribosomal RNA is filed under the name uncultured bacterium. RNAcentral describes it as "bacterial SSU rRNA". It matches the Rfam family "Bacterial small subunit ribosomal RNA", at positions 8 to 796 of the family's 1533-position model. The record is from RNAcentral.
AGAGUUUGAUCCUGGCUCAGAAUCAACGCUGGCGGCGUGCCUAACACAUGCAAGUCGAGCGAGAAAGUGGUAGCAAUACCAUGAGUAAAGCGGCGCACGGGUGAGUAACACGUGACUAACCUACCCUCGAGUGGGGAAUAACUUCGGGAAACCGAGGCUAAUACCGCAUAAUACCCACGGGUCAAAGGAGUAAUCCGCUUGAGGAGGGGGUCGCGGCCGAUUAGUUAGUUGGCGGGGUAAUGGCCCACCAAGACGAUGAUCGGUAUCCGGCCUGAGAGGGCGCACGGACACACUGGAACUGAAACACGGUCCAGACUCCUACGGGAGGCAGCAGUGGGGAAUUUUGCGCAAUGGGGGAAACCCUGACGCAGCAACGCCGCGUGGAGGAUGAAGUCCUUCGGGACGUAAACUCCUUUCGAUCGGGACGAUAAUGACGGUACCGGAAGAAGAAGCCCCGGCUAACUUCGUGCCAGCAGCCGCGGUAAUACGAGGGGGGCGAGCGUUGUUCGGAAUUAUUGGGCGUAAAGGGUGCGUAGGCGGUUUGGUAAGUCUCUUGUGAAAUCUAUGGGCUCAACUCAUAGUCUGCAAGGGAAACUGCCGGGCUUGAGUGUGGGAGAGGUGAGUGGAAUUUCCGGUGUAGCGGUGAAAUGCGUAGAUAUCGGAAGGAACACCUGUGGCGAAAGCGGCUCACUGGACCACAACUGACGCUGAUGCACGAAAGCUAGGGGAGCAAACAGGAUUAGAUACCCUAGUAGUCC